Non-coding RNA from Carassius auratus (goldfish), 1400 nucleotides. Lineage: Eukaryota; Metazoa; Chordata; Actinopteri; Cypriniformes; Cyprinidae. The record is from the annotation of a RefSeq genome assembly.
CAUCUGCGGCUGCAUUAGAAGAUGUUUCAAUAAUCUUACCAAGGGAGGUUUUUGUGGUUCCCACUGAACACCAGUUGCACUGGUUUACAUUUAGUAUAUAUGAGAUACAUUAAAGAUAUAUAAAGUUUCCCAGUUACUCCACUAAACCAUUUCAUUUCAUAGCAAAAAUCUGGUGGCUUUUCACAUGGGACUGGUUUGAAGAAUUUUCAUCUCAUUAUCUUUGGCCAUGGUGAGCUUUCCUUUAUCAUCAUGGCUGAAUAGAUUUUAUUGGAUUGUAAUCUGAAAACCAUUAAAACCUUCUUAUGUGAAUUAUUAAUAAAAUAUGUAGAAUGUAUUAAGAAAUGUGUGAGACAAUGAAAAUCAAUAGUUCACCAGCAUUAAAGAGAGUUUCUGUGUAUCUGUGUGUAAAGUCAGUGAGGUGAAUAAUGAUCUUCAACAUCAACAUCUGCAGAAGCUCAAAGCUGCAGCGCUGCAGUCUCUCACAAAGAGGUUUUUGUACGAUGCUUUCACACUGUGUGAACACCCAGUCUGUGGUGCCAGAGACACCCUUGUCAUGUUGACUCUGACAGUAAUAAACUCCUGAAUCUUCAGGCUGGACUCCACUGAUGGUCAGAGUAAAAUCCAUGUGGUUUCCACUUUCACUGCCACUGAAUCUAGAAGAAACACCUGAAGCUCUCUCUGAUGUGUAAUAGAUCAGGAGUUUAGGAACUUCUCCAGGAAUCUGAUGGAACCAGGACAUGCAAUACAGAGAGGAGCUGUCAGUCAUAAAAUCAUAAAGUCCCAGAUCUACUAUAAAGACCUCCAGAGCACUGAAGCAUGCAGUUCAAUGCAAAAUUUUGCCAAAGUCGAUUCUGUCCCCACCACAGAAGAAACUUCCUGCUUCUGGGUUGCCUACCUUUUCAGUGCAUCAGCUGCGGCUCGUCCCGCUCUCACAGUGCUGCUGCCCUCCAGAGACGAGCUGCAGCAGGGGAAGGCUACAGUGCUGUGUGUGGCCAGUAAGGGAUACCCCUCUGACUGGAAGCUGAGCUGGAAGGUGGACUGCAGCAGCAGGAGCUCUGGUGUGGAUCUGAGUCCCAGUCAGCUGCAGAAGGAUGGACUGUACAGCUGGAGCAGCAGCCUGAGCCUCACUGAGAGUGAGUGGAGCAGAGCAGCAACCGUCAGCUGUGAAGCCACGCACCCGUCCCACACUGCAGUCACCAAGAGCCUCAACACAAAGCAGUGUGAUGACCAGUGAAAUACACCAACAGACACACUGUCCUAAUUAAGCCGCUGCUCAACAAUUAAUCUUUCAUGCUAUUAGUAUAUUUUUCAUAUAGGUCUUAUUGUUGUAAUUCUACAACUGCCAUGCUUUGAAUUUUUUAUGUUAUUCUUGCUGCCAAAUAAAAGCAUUUUGUCUCAAA